CCAAUAGCGUAUAUUAAAGUUGUUGCAGUUAAAAAGCUCGUAGUUGAAUUUCGGGAUUUAUCCGUUGGUCGGGCUUUUGGGUCUGUACUGGCGUGAUGGAUUUCUACCUUCUGAAUAUCCGGCAUGUCAUUAAUUUGGUGCGCCGGGGAAGCAGGACUAUUACCUUGAAAAAAUUAGAGUGCUUAAAGCAGGCUAUUGCCUGAAUACAUUAGCAUGGAAUAAUGAAAUAGGACGGCAUGGUUCUAUUUUGUUGGUUUCUAGGAUCACCGUAAUGAUUAAUAGGGAUAGGUGGGGGCAUUAGUAUUCAAUUGUCAGAGGUGAAAUUCUUGGAUUUAUUGAAGACUAACUUCUGCGAAAGCAUUUGCCAAGGAUGUUUUCAUUAAUCAAGAACGAAAGUUAGGGGAUCGAAGACGAUCAGAUACCGUCGUAGUCUUAACCAUAAACUAUGCCGACUAGGGAUCGGACGAUGUUAAUUUUUUAAUGACUCGUUCGGCGCCUUACG
RNAcentral lists this ribosomal RNA (502 nucleotides) under uncultured Acaulospora. Its description in RNAcentral is "SSU rRNA". It matches the Rfam family "Eukaryotic small subunit ribosomal RNA", at positions 591 to 1092 of the family's 1831-position model. The record is from RNAcentral. Lineage: Eukaryota; Fungi; Glomeromycota; Glomeromycetes; Diversisporales; Acaulosporaceae.